UAGAUGAAGAUCUAAAAGUGUGAUUUAAAAGGAGAGAUUUAAAAUUAGGGAGCUGAAAAUCAUAUAAAUUGUUAUUAUAAGAUCAUAUCAAAUAUUAUUACUGCAAUGACACCAAUAAAUACUGUAGAUUUCCACAGUCACUGGGAAGCAAAAGAAUCAAAGGGUACUCUGAUGUAAAUCAAUGUCAAGCAAUAGUACUCAACAAUUUAGACACAUUUAAGGGUUCACAGCUGCUGCCUGUUAGGUCACAAUACAGGUUAAAACACUUAUGGUUUGUGACCUACUGUCUUGAUAAUACUGUUAGAAUUUCAGAGGCUCUGGAGGAUACAGUUCGCAAUCUGAGAACAACAUAACUAAUGCGAAUGUGUUUUAUCCAGCUGUAGUCCCUUCAGAAAUUAUCACAACAGAAUAGGAAGUUUUCAAGGAGUCUACAUGUUAGGAAUUCAUGACUGUGAACGAAUUCCUUUCCUUCACAUUUUCCCAUCUUCAGAAUGGGAGUAAUAGUUGAUCUCAGAGUGAUUCAACAAACCUCUGAAAAUGGAACUACUGACCCCAGUAGGCAUGUCAUAUAUUUAAGUUACACCACCAUCCUGAGUACAUUUAUUCAUCAACUACCCCAUUUUCUAUGAUUAUUAAGAAAUUUAUGUCUCAAAUAAACUGAAAAAUCUUUUGAUCUAACAUAGAUCAGAAGCUUAACUCCUAAUUAAAGAUGAUCGACAGCUUCAUCAAUUUUGAAUGAUUGCUGGUAUUGAGAUUUUCGUGAUGUUGACCAUCUUACUUUGAGAAAUUAAAGGUACUACACAAUGUUUUCAAUCAGAAACAAAAUUGCAUCUUCUGCAGUCAAUUGGAAAAAAUGUCAUUUAACCAUCGCAGCUCAACCAGGUUCAAGAAUGCUAUGGAGGUUUCUAACAAACAACUACUCCUUCAAAAACUAAUCUUUGUAUAACAUGACUUCAGUUCUCUUUAUGUGUUUAGUGAUUCUCCUUUGAAUGUGCUCCAGCUUAGUUCAUUUUUGAAGUGUAUGGUUUAGAUGUGGUUUGAUAUAGAGGCAUACUAGAAUGGAAUUAUUAUUUCCCUUGAUCUGGACAAAAUAUUCUAUUAAUGCAGCCAAGAAUUACAUUAGCUCUUUUGGCAAUCACAGUUCAGUACUGAUUUAUAUCAAGCUCCCUGUCAAUUAAUCCUUCGGGACUUUUUUAUUUAUGCUCUUUCUAGGCAAUGCCUCUGAAUCUAUAUUAGUUUAGUUGCUGUUUGGAAUAAAGGAUAGGAUUUUAUAUUUUCCCCUAAUUAAAUCCAUCUUGCAGGUCCAUCUUUCCAUCCGCUGGGAUUGUGUUGGAUGCUGACUGCAUCACCUUUUAAAAAUUAAUAGUUCCAAAGAGGAGCUCAAACCAGAUAGCUGGGUGUUUUGCAAAAACCAUUUGUCCUAGGGUUCUAUUGCUGGAAUAAGAAUCAUGACCUUUAAAAAGUUAC
Long non-coding RNA from Rattus norvegicus (Norway rat), 1467 nucleotides. RefSeq lists it as uncharacterized. Lineage: Eukaryota; Metazoa; Chordata; Mammalia; Rodentia; Muridae. The record is from RefSeq and is a predicted model, not a curated record.